GCCCCCUUAGCUCAGUAGGCAGAGCGACUCCAUGGUAAGGAGUAGGUCUACGGUUCGAUUCCGUAAGGGGGCU
This 73-nucleotide transfer RNA is filed under the name Marmoricola sp. RNAcentral's name for it is "tRNA-Thr". It matches the Rfam family "tRNA". Rfam says of the family: Transfer RNA (tRNA) molecules are approximately 80 nucleotides in length. Their secondary structure includes four short double-helical elements and three loops (D, anti-codon, and T loops). Further hydrogen bonds mediate the characteristic L-shaped molecular structure. tRNAs have two regions of fundamental functional importance: the anti-codon, which is responsible for specific mRNA codon recognition, and the 3' end, to which the tRNAs corresponding amino acid is attached (by aminoacyl-tRNA synthetases). tRNAs cope with the degeneracy of the genetic code in two manners: having more than one tRNA (with a specific anti-codon) for a particular amino acid; and 'wobble' base-pairing, i.e. permitting non-standard base-pairing at the 3rd anti-codon position. The record is from RNAcentral. Lineage: Bacteria; Bacillati; Actinomycetota; Actinomycetes; Propionibacteriales; Nocardioidaceae. RNAcentral also lists the same sequence under 1 other name.